Papaver somniferum (opium poppy) is the source of this 3157-nucleotide long non-coding RNA. RefSeq lists it as uncharacterized. The transcript has 2 exons. The record is from RefSeq and is a predicted model, not a curated record. Lineage: Eukaryota; Viridiplantae; Streptophyta; Magnoliopsida; Ranunculales; Papaveraceae.
GUGGAUUUUUGUUCUACUGUCUCGAGUGUAACCUGAUAGCCAUAAGGCAACAUUUUUAGAGUCGCUGAUGCGUUUACAUUGCAAUAGCGACAUCAGUGCUGUUUGUUGCCGAUAAUGAAUCUUGAGCUGAGAUUUUUGCACUAAUUGCUGUUUAACUAGCGAUUUAAUGCAUUGAAGCUUAAACAUAUACAAUCUUUAUUCAUGAUAAGGAGUAAUAACUAAUAAGGUACAUUUUUAAAUCUUAGUGUUUUAGAAUAAUUAAAUAAAUGGGAUUGCAGUGAUGACUCCAUAAAAUUCAAGCUCAACAGACCGGAUUGCAGGUUUUUCUCAGUCGAGAAAAUUAUUUGCGUGUCGAUACACCCGCUGAGCUGAGCAAUCUCCUUUGAUUUAUCAUAGGAUUUCACCGUUUUGAAUUAGAAUGUUUAAAUUUUAUGAUGAUAAUUUGAGGACAAUUGUUUGAAUGAAUUGUUGUUUAAUAGCCAUUGCUGUUUAAUCGCUGUAACAUGAUUCUUUGAAACUCAUCCAGAUUCUACUAUCUGAGUAUGUCUGAGUAUAGACGUCUUAGCCAUAAGGCACCAUUUUUAGAGUCGCUGAUACGUUUACAUUGCAAUAGCGAUAUCAGUGCUGUAUGUUGCCGAUAGUGAACCUUUGAGCUAAGAUUUUUGCACUAAUCACUGCUUAACUAGCGAUUUAACGCAUUGAAGCUCAAACACGUCAAUCUUUAUUCAUGAGAAUUACAAUGGUAUAUACUAUUUAUUAUCUUCUACAUGUUGAGCACAUAUACUGUGCAGAUUCUUCAGGUCUUUAAGCAGGAGUAGUCUUAAUGGUUCAUUUUUCAGUUGUAGUGUUUAAGAUUUGAGAAUGGAUAAUAAUUAUUACAUUCAGUCGUAGUGUUUUUGAUUUGAGAACUAUUAAUAAUGAAAUAAAAGGGGAUUGCAGUGAUGACUCCAUAAAAUUCAAGCUCAACAGACCGGAUUGCAGGUUUUUCUCAGUGGAGAAAAUUAUUUGCGUGUCGAUACACCCGCUGAGCUGAGCAAUCUCUUUUAAUUUUAUCAAUUCUCGAUUUUGGGUUUUAAAAUUUUCGAAUUUGAAUGUUUUUGAUUUAUACCGCCACUACUGAGUAAUGUUUCGAAGGAUUGCAAUGAGGAUAACAAGCUCCCUCUUCUGAAUUAAGCUGAGGACAAUUGUUGGCUGAAUCGAACCUAAUUAUAAUCGCCACUACUGAGGAAUCUCUCUGUAACCAAUUUUCCCCUUGUUUAAGCCAUAAUAGCUAAUAAUUAUUUAUGAUUAAUGAUUUGAAUCUCUGAAUCUUUAAACUCAAUCCUGAUUGUACUGUCUGGAGUAUAAACUCCUACUCUGCUAGCCAUAAGGCAACAUUUUUAGAGUCGCUGAUGCGUUUACACUGCAAUAGCGACAUCAGUGCUGUAUGUUUCCGAAAGUGAACCUUUGUGCUGAGAUUUUUGCACUAAUUGCUGUUCAACUAGCGAUUUAACGCAUUGAAGCUCAAACAUACAAGUCUUUAUUCAUGAUAAUUACAAUUGUAUAUUCUGUUUUUUAUAUUUUACAUGAUUAGAAAUUUAGCACAUAUAGUUAAAUGAUUCUUCAGGUCUCUGUUAAUGGUUUAAGGGGUUACUUUUAUUCUAUAUGAUAACAGAUAUGAAGCAUCAUCUUUAUGAAUCUUCAUGUCUCUUAAUUUCUGCAAUUCUGAGGAGUAUAAUUUAAUUAGAACGGUGGUGGUUGUUUUCAUGUCUUCUGCUGUGUGUGUGAUUUGAAAAGGGAACCUUUCAAAUGUUGCAAGUUUCUUUUUUUCCUUUUUUGGUCUGAGCCACGUUGACGAUAGUCAAAAAGACAAUGACCGUCAAUGCUAUGAUUAGACCUACACAAAUUUCAUGUUUCGCAUCUUGAUAGGAAUAUGUGCACUGAUUUGUCCUUCAUUUACAGAGCCAUUUGUGUGAUUACAUUUUCUUUUGAAGUUCAUGUUCAUAGUUGUGAAGAUUUAGUGACUGCCUGUGACGAUCAAAACUUAUUUGGAAUUACCGUCUGAUUUCUUUGAUGUUAACCUUUGGCUGUUUUUCUGAGGCAAUCUAAAUCAAAGUUAAAAAUCUUUUUUGUACGUCUGUUUGUUCUGUACAUUUUAUUUUUGAUGGGGAUGGUAAACGUAGGAAAUUAAGUUCUCGUAGGAGUUCCAUGGUUGUUUGUACAGUCUCAUAUUAGUUCUGUGAUUCUUUGUUUUGUAUUCACCGGCCAUUUCAAUUUUCUUCUCAUCUUUUUUGGGUGUGUUUGUCCGAGUUUUUGCUUUUAUUGAUUGUGUAGGUUUCCAUGGGACAAAUGGUUUCUUAGUCACAUGUGUUCGUAUGCUUGUUCUUUUGUAAUAAUAAUAAUAAUAAUAUGUGGUAAAUCUUAUGACUUAUUCAAUAUUAGUUUGUCUUUUGAUGGGGGAGGUUUUGGCAAAAAUCUCUCUUUCACUGAUUGGAGCAAACAAGUUAUGUUUGUAAAAUCCUCCGUAAACGUCACACAUUAAGACUGAUAUGUUGACGGUUGAAAAAUCUCCAUUUCGGGCGGUCUCAUAUUCCAUUGCCUUGGGGAGCUGCGUUGUGGCCAUUACCUCUUGGGACUGGCCAUGAGACAUAUAUUUCUUUUGUGUUGAUCUUCGUAACAAAUAGUGAUCUUGAUUUAUGUUUUGCUACCGAGCCUAUGAGGAUAUCUGAUUUAAAGAACACCAUCUUUCGGGACUGAAUGGCUUAACGCCUUGGUGACAAAUUCUGCAAUUCUGAGGCUCAUAAAUUUUGUUGCUGGGAGUCCAAGUUCAUCGCAAGGAUAUCAAGGGAAGCAAGCUAAACAGGUAGGCUUACACUGGAAGAAGCUCUGAUUUGGGCCGAGGAUGUAGGCCUACACGAGGUUGAGCUGGAAGGAGAAAACCACUUUCGUCAGAGGAAAGAAGACCAGCGUUCACUGGCACUCGUUUUCCAGUCAUAUCUAAGGAAUGAAGACCAGUGCUGUAUGUUUGCCGAUAAUGAACCUUGAGCUGAGAUUUUUGCACUAAUUGUUGUUCAACUAUUGAGGCUCAAACAUACAAGUCCUUGUGAUGACAAUUGUAUAUACUAUCUAUUGCAUUCUACAUGUUUCUCAUCAUGGUAUAUAUAAGGGAUUACUUGUA